GUCAUUGUAACCCUUCAAAGCAAGCACUGGUUUUAAGCUGUGGCAAAUAUUAGCUUUAUAGGAAAUGCAUGAGUAUUAAUUUGUAGUUCCAUUUUCCUGUAAGCAAUACCCGUGGAUCAAAUGAUACUAAAUGCCAGAUAUGAUAAAGUGUAUUUUGCCCGUAUAUGAGCGGAUUUUUAGUAAUAUGGCAAUACCUUUAUAAUGACAUCAGAGAAAUCGUUUUCAUAGUCCAGGGACUGUUUUUCGUUAACGUUCAUCAUCAAGCAAUUAAGUUGGUUUGUUAGUUUUUAACAUUGAACAUGUAUCCUUGAGCAGUCGGUAAACUUAUGUACCACAUAUCUUUGUGUAAAGCAUUAACAAUGUGUGUGUGUGUGUGUGUGUGAGAGAGAGAGAGGGGAGGGAGGGAAUUAUGAUUUCAUCCGAACCCAGUGGGAGAGUUGCAUGCACCGCUAAUCCAACUGUAGUCCAUCCCUAUCUGUUCAGUGUUAUUUACUUUGCAGUGCAUCAUAUUUUUGGGUCCAAAACAUUUGUUGUGGUAAGUUAUCUCUAACUUUUAUUUUUGGUAUGGGAACGUAUAGUUACUAUUUUCAAUUGAGCGCAAACAGGAGAAAUUUGCUCAAGAAGAAGCUAGCUGAUGCUGAUGUAUCAGAUGAAGAUCGAAAUUACCUAUUCAAAUUUUGAGAGAAGAAGGAAACUGAAUAUAUGCGCAUUCAGAGACACAAAAUGGGUGCUGAUGAUUUUGAGUUAUUGACAAUGAUUGGAAAGGGUGCUUUUGGGGAGGUAAAGAUUUUCACUGAAAAUAUGACUGACUUGACCAAAUGAUAAGAUCUCUAUUAUCAAUAAUUAGUUCCGCAUUUACUAUCCAAUAUUUGAUAUGCAAAAU
This 883-nucleotide long non-coding RNA is filed under the name Olea europaea subsp. europaea. Lineage: Eukaryota; Viridiplantae; Streptophyta; Magnoliopsida; Lamiales; Oleaceae. The record is from RNAcentral.